CGUAGGGUGCGAGCGUUGUCCGGAAUUAUUGGGCGUAAAGAGCUUGUAGGCGGUUUGUCACGUCGAAAGUGAAAACUCGGGCCUUAAUCCCGAGCUUGCUUUCGAUACGGGCUGACUAGAGGAAGGUAGGGGAGAACGGAAUUCCUGGUGGAGCGGUGGAAUGCGCAGAUAUCAGGAGGAACACCGGUGGCGAAGGCGGUUCUCUGGACCUUUCCUGACGCUGAGAAGCGAAAGCGUGGGGAGCAAACAGGCUU
RNAcentral lists this ribosomal RNA (254 nucleotides) under uncultured bacterium. RNAcentral describes it as "partial 16S ribosomal RNA". It matches the Rfam family "Bacterial small subunit ribosomal RNA", at positions 526 to 779 of the family's 1533-position model. The record is from RNAcentral.